Molecule: ribosomal RNA, 497 nt
Filed under: uncultured bacterium
Lineage: Bacteria
Description: partial 16S ribosomal RNA
Rfam family: Bacterial small subunit ribosomal RNA
Source: RNAcentral
GAUGAACGCUGGCGGCGUGCCUAAUGCAUGCAAGUCGAGCGAACAGAUGAGGAGCUUGCUCCUCUGACGUUAGCGGCGGACGGGUGAGUAACACGUGGAUAACCUACCUAUAAGACUGGGAUAACUUCGGGAAACCGGAGCUAAUACCGGAUAAUAUAUUGAACCGCAUGGUUCAAUAGUGAAAGACGGUUUUGCUGUCACUUAUAGAUGGAUCCGCGCCGCAUUAGCUAGUUGGUAAGGUAACGGCUUACCAAGGCAACGAUGCGGAGCCGAACUGAGAGGGUGAUCGGCCACACUGGAACUGAGACACGGUCCAGACUCCUACGGGAGGCAGCAGUAGGGAAUCUUCCGCAAUGGGCGAAAGCCUGACGGAGCAACGCCGCGUGAGUGAUGAAGGUCUUCGGAUCGUAAAACUCUGUUAUUAGGGAAGAACAAAUGUGUAAGUAACUAUGCACGUCUUGACGGUACCUAAUCAGAAAGCCACGGCUAACUACGUG